UACGUAGGAUCCAAGCGUUGUCCGGAUUUACUGGGUGUAAAGGGUGCGCAGGCGGAAUGGUAAGUCAGAGGUGAAAUCUCAUCGCUCAACGGUGAAACUGCCUUUGAUACUAUCAUUCUUGAGUCCGAUAGAGAUCUGUGGAAUUCCGAGUGUAGCAGUGAAAUGUGUAGAUAUUCGGAAGAACACCAGUGGCGAAGGCAGCAGAUUGGGUCGGUACUGACGCUCAGGCACGGAAGCAUGGGGAUCAAACAGG
This 253-nucleotide ribosomal RNA is filed under the name uncultured bacterium. RNAcentral's name for it is "partial 16S ribosomal RNA". It matches the Rfam family "Bacterial small subunit ribosomal RNA", at positions 524 to 776 of the family's 1533-position model. The record is from RNAcentral.